RNAcentral lists this ribosomal RNA (536 nucleotides) under Alternaria sp. Al 22. RNAcentral's name for it is "eukaryotic LSU rRNA". The stretch from base 157 to 310 matches the Rfam family "5.8S ribosomal RNA". The record is from RNAcentral. Lineage: Eukaryota; Fungi; Ascomycota; Dothideomycetes; Pleosporales; Pleosporaceae.
AGGGCGGGGGCUGGACCUCUCGGGGUUACAGCCUUGCUGAAUUAUUCACCCUUGUCUUUUGCGUACUUCUUGUUUCCUUGGUGGGUUCGCCCACCACUAGGACAAACAUAAACCUUUUGUAAUUGCAAUCAGCGUCAGUAACAAAUUAAUAAUUACAACUUUCAACAACGGAUCUCUUGGUUCUGGCAUCGAUGAAGAACGCAGCGAAAUGCGAUAAGUAGUGUGAAUUGCAGAAUUCAGUGAAUCAUCGAAUCUUUGAACGCACAUUGCGCCCUUUGGUAUUCCAAAGGGCAUGCCUGUUCGAGCGUCAUUUGUACCCUCAAGCUUUGCUUGGUGUUGGGCGUCUUGUCUCUAGCUUUGCUGGAGACUCGCCUUAAAGUAAUUGGCAGCCGGCCUACUGGUUUCGGAGCGCAGCACAAGUCGCACUCUCUAUCAGCAAAGGUCUAGCAUCCAUUAAGCCUUUUUUUCAACUUUUGACCUCGGAUCAGGUAGGGAUACCCGCUGAACUUAAGCAUAUCAAUAAGCCGGAGGGAAAA